GCCUACGGGAGGCAGCAGUAGGGAAUCUUCCACAAUGGGCGAAAGCCUGAUGGAGCAACGCCGCGUGGGUGAAGAAGGUCUUCUGAUCGUAAAACCCCGUUGUUAGAGAAGAAAGUGCGUGAGAGUAACUGUUCACGUUUCGACGGUAUCUAACCAGAAAGCCACGGCUAACUACGUGCCAGCAGCCGCGGUAAUACGUAGGUGGCAAGCGUUAUCCGGAUUUAUUGGGCGUAAAGGGAACGCAGGCGGUCUUUUAAGUCUGAUGUGAAAGCCUUCGGCUUAACCGGAGUAGUGCAUUGGAAACU
Molecule: ribosomal RNA, 305 nt
Filed under: uncultured bacterium
Lineage: Bacteria
Description: bacterial SSU rRNA
Rfam family: Bacterial small subunit ribosomal RNA
Source: RNAcentral